Ceratobasidium sp. 414 is the source of this 72-nucleotide non-coding RNA. The record is from the annotation of a GenBank genome assembly. NCBI's taxonomy places the organism in Eukaryota, Fungi, Basidiomycota, Agaricomycetes, Cantharellales, Ceratobasidiaceae.
AGCGAAAUAGUGUAAUUGGUAAAAUACUAGACUCAUGAUCUAUUGAUACAGGUUCGAUUCCUGUUUUCGCUU